RNAcentral lists this ribosomal RNA (451 nucleotides) under uncultured bacterium. Its description in RNAcentral is "partial 16S ribosomal RNA". It matches the Rfam family "Bacterial small subunit ribosomal RNA", at positions 29 to 507 of the family's 1533-position model. The record is from RNAcentral.
AAUGAACGCUGGCGGCGUGCCUAACACAUGCAAGUCGAGCGGCAGCGAGGGGUGCUUGCACCCUGUCGGCGAGCGGCGGACGGCUGAGUAACGCGUGGGAACGUACCCAAAAGUUAGGGAUAACUGCCGGAAAGGGUAGCUAAUUCCUACUACUAACGUCGUAUGAGAGGAUUUAUCCGCUUUGGGAGCGGCGCGCGUCGGAUUAGGUGGUUGGUGAGGUAAUGAGUCACCAAGCCGACGAUCCGUAGCUGGUCUGAGAGGAUGACCAGCCAGACUGGAACUGGGCCACGGUCCAGACUCCUAGGGGAGGCAGCAGUGAGGAAUCUUCCACAAUGGGCGAAAGCCUGAUGGAGCACCGCCGCGUGAAGGACGAAGGCCUUAGGGUUGUAAACUGCUUUUAUAAGUGAGGAAUAUGACGGUAACUUAUGAAUAAGGAUCGGCUAACUACGUG